CAAAGGUUGACCUCGGAUCAGGUAGGAAUACCCGCUGAACUUAAGCAUAUCAAUAAGCGGAGGA
RNAcentral lists this ribosomal RNA (64 nucleotides) under Colletotrichum gloeosporioides. RNAcentral describes it as "partial 28S ribosomal RNA". The stretch from base 8 to 64 matches the Rfam family "Eukaryotic large subunit ribosomal RNA", at positions 1 to 57 of the family's 3401-position model. Lineage: Eukaryota; Fungi; Ascomycota; Sordariomycetes; Glomerellales; Glomerellaceae. The record is from RNAcentral.